Drosophila obscura is the source of this 601-nucleotide long non-coding RNA. RefSeq lists it as uncharacterized. The transcript is spliced from 4 exons. The record is from RefSeq and is a predicted model, not a curated record. Lineage: Eukaryota; Metazoa; Arthropoda; Insecta; Diptera; Drosophilidae.
AUGUUCUUCAUAGAGCCCUUGGUACUUUUUGCCUGUCUACACAUACUGAGACACAGACACAAAACCCACCCACUCCCUCUCAAGCGUAUUUAACUUUCGUUCAUCCGCAUUCGGGUACAUACAGCUCAUUAAACCUGAAAUAUGAUUCGAGCAGCGCUUACCAUGGGCAGAGUGACGCCUGGAAAGAGAUCCAUGUAGAUGCCAAUGAAGAGGGAAAUGUCCUGCUCGAGGAAUUUCGGCAAAUUGACAUCAACAAUGGCACGCAAAACAAUCUCCGGCUCCGGCAGGUCCACGUAGAGGCGUCGCAGCGAUGCGGAGGCCAGCAGCACGGACUUGACGGCGCGCAUACCUGUGUCGAUGGAUAGAUGGACAUGGACAUGAACAGGGAGGAAGGAAUUAUAGUUUGAGAAUGUAUUUGAUGGCGUUGGAUGGCGUCGAGGAGCCUGGCUCCCGUCCUGCCUGUGGCCAGAGCUUCAUUAUAGCGCCAGGGAAAUGCUAAACUUUUGCAACGUUGCAAAAACAGCUGGACAGGACAGCAGAGAGGAGGAGGUGGUGGACUUCCAGGAUAUGUUUUUGUCUUAUCUGGAAUGCUCCUCUUACC